This 279-nucleotide ribosomal RNA is filed under the name uncultured archaeon. Its description in RNAcentral is "partial 16S rRNA". It matches the Rfam family "Archaeal small subunit ribosomal RNA", at positions 1047 to 1325 of the family's 1478-position model. The record is from RNAcentral.
GAGACCCACGCCCACAGUUGCCAGCGUACUCUCCGGAGUGACGGGUACACUGUGGGGACCGCCGCUGCUAAAGCGGAGGAAGGAAUGGGCAACGGUAGGUCAGUAUGCCCCGAAUAUCCCGGGCUACACGCGAGCUACAAUGGUUGGUACAAUGGGUAUCUACCCCGAAAGGGGACGGAAAUCUCCUAACGCCAAUCUUAGUUCGGAUUGAGGGCUGCAACUCGCCCUCAUGAAGCUGGAAUCCGUAGUAAUCGCACAUCAACAGUGUGCGGUGAAUAC